This 72-nucleotide transfer RNA is filed under the name Ameiurus melas (black bullhead). It matches the Rfam family "tRNA". Rfam says of the family: Transfer RNA (tRNA) molecules are approximately 80 nucleotides in length. The record is from Rfam by way of RNAcentral. Lineage: Eukaryota; Metazoa; Chordata; Actinopteri; Siluriformes; Ictaluridae.
GGGGAUGUAGGUCAGUGGUAGAGUGCAUGUUUUGCAUGUAUGAGGCCCUGGAUUCAAUCCCCGGCAUCUCUG